RNAcentral lists this ribosomal RNA (203 nucleotides) under Pseudocraterellus sp. C-163. RNAcentral describes it as "5.8S ribosomal RNA". It matches the Rfam family "5.8S ribosomal RNA". From Rfam's summary of the family: 5.8S ribosomal RNA (5.8S rRNA) is a component of the large subunit of the eukaryotic ribosome. It is transcribed by RNA polymerase I as part of the 45S precursor that also contains 18S and 28S rRNA. Lineage: Eukaryota; Fungi; Basidiomycota; Agaricomycetes; Cantharellales. The record is from RNAcentral.
CAACUUUCAGCAAUGGAUCUCUUGGUUCUCGCAUCGAUGAAGAACGCAGUGAAAUGCGAUAACUGGUGUGAAUUGCAUCCAAGUAACUCUAAUUUACGAAUAACACCAAGUGAAUCAUCGAGUCUUUGAACGCAAUUGCGCCCUCUCGGUCGCUUCCAAUUGGGGGUUGACUCAUAGGGGGUACAUCUGUUCGAGGGUCAUUU